This is a small nuclear RNA of Rattus norvegicus (Norway rat), 106 nucleotides long. The record is from Ensembl. NCBI's taxonomy places the organism in Eukaryota, Metazoa, Chordata, Mammalia, Rodentia, Muridae.
GAGGUCUCAUGCCCAUUCAGCAGCACAUAUUGGGACAAUACAGGGAAGAUUAGCAUGGCCCCUGGCCAAGGACAACAUGCAAAUUCAUGAAGCGUUCCAUAUUUUU